AUUGAACGCUGGCGGCAUGCUUUACACAUGCAAGUCGAACGGUAACAGGCCGCAAGGUGCUGACGAGUGGCGAACGGGUGAGUAAUGCAUCGGAACGUGCCCAGUCGUGGGGGAUAACUACUCGAAAGAGUAGCUAAUACCGCAUACGAUCUAUGGAUGAAAGCGGGGGACCGUAAGGCCCCGCGCGAUUGGAGCGGCCGAUGUCAGAUUAGGUAGUUGGUGGGGUAAAGGCUCACCAAGCCAACGAUCUGUAGCUGGUCUGAGAGGACGAGCAGCCACACUGGGACUGAGACACGGCCCAGACUCCUACGGGAGGCAGCAGUGGGGAAUUUUGGACAAUGGGCGCAAGCCUGAUCCAGCAAUGCCGCGUGCAGGAAGAAGGCCUUCGGGUUGUAAACUGCUUUUGUACGGAACGAAACGGCUCUGGUUAAUACCCGGGGCUAAUGACGGUACCGUAAGAAUAAGCACCGGCUAACUACGUG
RNAcentral lists this ribosomal RNA (482 nucleotides) under uncultured bacterium. Its description in RNAcentral is "partial 16S ribosomal RNA". It matches the Rfam family "Bacterial small subunit ribosomal RNA", at positions 30 to 507 of the family's 1533-position model. The record is from RNAcentral.